GUGUCUCUCUCUGACUUCAGGGUAUUGCACAACAUAUCAGACAGUCUCGUUGCGGUGUAUACAACUUAUGGAUCUCAUUGCUUGGACAUCUUAAAGGCGAAUGAAACUGAUCCUGAAUGGUUAGUGACACAGAGAAAGACUGAGGUUGGUAUUAUUAAAGGAUGGAUCAGCCAGUAUUAUGCGGAUUUGGAAAAGUACAAAC
This 202-nucleotide unclassified non-coding RNA is filed under the name Hevea brasiliensis (rubber tree). The record is from RNAcentral. Lineage: Eukaryota; Viridiplantae; Streptophyta; Magnoliopsida; Malpighiales; Euphorbiaceae.